RNAcentral lists this ribosomal RNA (37 nucleotides) under Dendrobium thyrsiflorum. RNAcentral's name for it is "partial 26S ribosomal RNA". Lineage: Eukaryota; Viridiplantae; Streptophyta; Magnoliopsida; Asparagales; Orchidaceae. The record is from RNAcentral.
CCCGCCGAGUUUAAGCAUAUCAAUAAGCGGAGAGAAA